This 497-nucleotide ribosomal RNA is filed under the name uncultured bacterium. RNAcentral's name for it is "partial 16S ribosomal RNA". It matches the Rfam family "Bacterial small subunit ribosomal RNA", at positions 28 to 507 of the family's 1533-position model. The record is from RNAcentral.
GAUGAACGCUGGCGGCGUGCCUAAUACAUGCGAGUCGAGCGAACAGACGAGGAGCUUGCUCCUCUGACGUUAGCGGCGGACGGGUGAGUAACACGUGGAUAACCUACCUAUAAGACUGUGAUAACUUCGGGAAACCGGAGCUAAUACCGGAUAAUAUAUUGAACCGCAUGGUUCAAUAGUGAAAGACGGUUUUGCUGUCACUUAUAGAUGGAUCCGCGCCGCAUUAGCUAGUUGGUAAGGUAACGGCUUACCAAGGCAACGAUGCGUAGCCGACCUGAGAGGGUGAUCGGCCACACUGGAACUGAGACACGGUCCAGACUCCUACGGGAGGCAGCAGUAGGGAAUCUUCCGCAAUGGGCGAAAGCUUGACGGAGCAACGCCGCGUGAGUGAUGAAGGUCUUCGGAUCGUAAAACUCUGUUAUUAGGGAAGAACAAAUGUGUAAGUAACUAUGCACGUCUUGACGGUACCUAAUCAGAAAGCCACGGCUAACUACGUG